RNAcentral lists this ribosomal RNA (497 nucleotides) under uncultured bacterium. RNAcentral's name for it is "partial 16S ribosomal RNA". It matches the Rfam family "Bacterial small subunit ribosomal RNA", at positions 28 to 507 of the family's 1533-position model. The record is from RNAcentral.
GAUGAACGCUGGCGGCGUGCCUAAUACAUGCAAGUCGAGCGAACGGACGAGAAGCUUGCUUCUCUGAUGUUAGCGGCGGACGGGUGAGUAACACGUGGAUAACCUACCUAUAAGACUGGGAUAACUUCGGGAAACCGGAGCUAAUACCGGAUAAUAUUUUGAACCGCAUGGUUCAAAAGUGAAAGACGGUCUUGCUGUCACUUAUAGAUGGAUCCGCGCUGCAUUAGCUAGUUGGUAAGGUAACGGCUUACCAAGGCAACGAUGCAUAGCCGACCUGAGAGGGUGAUCGGCCACACUGGAACUGAGACACGGUCCAGACUCCUACGGGAGGCAGCAGUAGGGAAUCUUCCGCAAUGGGCGAAAGCCUGACGGAGCAAUGCCGCGUGAGUGAUGAAGGUCUUCGGAUCGUAAAACUCUGUUAUUAGGGAAGAACAUAUGUGUAAGUAACUGUGCACAUCUUGACGGUACCUAAUCAGAAAGCCACGGCUAACUACGUG